Molecule: ribosomal RNA, 253 nt
Filed under: uncultured bacterium
Lineage: Bacteria
Description: partial 16S ribosomal RNA
Rfam family: Bacterial small subunit ribosomal RNA
Source: RNAcentral
UACAGAGGUCUCAAGCGUUGUUCGGAUUCAUUGGGCGUAAAGAGCGUGUAGGCGGCUAGGUAGGUCCGUUGUGAAAACUCGAGGCUUAACCUCGAGACGUCGAUGGAAACCAUCUAGCUAGAGUCCGGAAGAGGAGAGUGGAAUUCCUGGUGUAGCGGUGAAAUGCGCAGAUAUCAGGAAGAACACCCGUGGCGAAGGCGGCUCUCUGGGACGUGACUGACGCUGAGACGCGAAAGCGUGGGGAGCAAACAGG